RNAcentral lists this small RNA (28 nucleotides) under Bombyx mori (domestic silkworm). RNAcentral describes it as "ovarian small RNA-26488". The record is from RNAcentral. Lineage: Eukaryota; Metazoa; Arthropoda; Insecta; Lepidoptera; Bombycidae.
UCCAACCACCGCAUGGGCAUCGACAGGU